Molecule: long non-coding RNA, 7260 nt
Organism: Mus musculus (house mouse)
Lineage: Eukaryota; Metazoa; Chordata; Mammalia; Rodentia; Muridae
Product: predicted gene, 34061
Exons: 4
Source: RefSeq, a predicted model, not a curated record
UUAUUUAUUCUGCACGCUGUGAUCCAGCAGCAUUCUAUAUGUGUAAUAAACAUCUAAGCACAGUCAAUAGGUACUGUUGGUGCUUUAGCAUGGACAUUUCCCAGUGCUGUUAAUUGAGUUUAUGGGGCAGGGUCCUCCUUAAAAUUGUACUUAUAAGGUUUAGAAUAAAUACAAAUAUUUGAAAUUGUUUUCAUGAUGUAAAAGGGUCGAAGGAAAAUAAGCUAAAGGGGAGUUAUUUUUAUAGACAUCAAGCAAUGAAGAAAUCUGAGGGGAUCUUUUCUUCGUGGUUGCCACCAAGAGCAUCGAGUAACUUUUUUCCUGAGCAUUGUCUUAGAAUCCCGAGAAAGGUAGAUCACAGUCUGUAAACAGGAGACAUGAAGAGAAGAGACUUGGGCUGAGAAUUCUGAUCAAGAGCCAACUUUUUGGUUGGGAGCCAACAGUCUUGUUGUGGAAGUACCCAUGACUUUCCCAAACCAUUUGGCUCACCUCCUGACGUAAUUGCAUCUGAGAGACAAAUAUUUAAAUGGGCUGGAGAGAAGGUAAUGGAAGGAUUUCAAUUACCAAAGAGCAUACUGGAUUACUUUAAGUGGCAUAAAUCGGCCUUAAGGCAAACUCAAAGACCAGGCACAGCAUAGUUUUCCAAUGCAAUAUGCAUCUCCCCUCUCAAAAGGUAACUUUCUGUGCUCUCAGGCAAUGUAAAACAAAGGCUAGGAGUUGAGAUGUAAUUUGAGUGGAAAUCUAUUGGGAAACACAAAUCAUAAUUUCAAAUAUGGAGCAAAGCCAAAAUGGUUGAGCCUUCUGAAAUAAUGGUCAAAGGGCUGAAGCUGUGCUUGAAAAUGAAUACAGAUGAUUUUAAAAAUUUAUGCAAGUAUAAAUUGAAAAUUGUUGCGUGGUACCAACCAAUGAGAAGCAGUGAUAAAGUUUUAGAGCAAGACAUAAUACCUUACACACCUUGCCAAUUAAAAAGCUCAGUCUCUUUGCAUUUAAGAACUUCAGCAAAAUAGAACAGAGCUUAGGACAGAAUGGGGGGGGGUACAUGCCUCACUUGUCUUUCUCAGCUCUGGCUAUGUGGGUGCAAAGACAAGCUGAGGGAUUUAGCUGGAUCCAUUUCUGAUCGCAGGGUUGGCAGGAGCGUUGUGGGUGGAACUAUGUCUUUCUCUUUCUUCUUUCUCUUCUUUCCUUUGCAUCUUGCCUUUUGGCUUCUUCUUGUAUGUUCAUUGUGCUACUAACCCUGUAAGGCAAUGUGGUUUCUUUCACCACCACCCCCUCUGCCCCACACUGGAGCCUUUGAUCCCUGUUUCCUACACAGACUUUCUUUAUUACAGUUCUUACAUUCUCCUCACCUGCCAAAGCCCACCUGCUCAUAACAUAGAAUUCCAAAUUCUCUCGUUUCCUCUUGCAAGCUGCUUCAUUUAGUCUGUCUACUAGUGUGCUUGCUGCUUCACCAAGCCAGUCAAGUAACACAAGUAUUUCAUAUUUGAUUGCUGACCAAAAGUUGUGGAGAAAAGACCACAUUGAAAGAGCCUAGACCACACUGAAAGAGCCUAGACCCAGAAAAUAACAAAUCAAACAAAAUAGCUAUACAUCUUGUUGGUAAAAAAACAAAAAACAAAAAACAAAAAAGACAGAAAUAGAACCUCAUGAAUUUUGAAAUGCUACAAAGCUAGUUGUUAUAGGUUGCUUUCUAUAUGUGAGACUCUGAAAUUGCUUACUUCAUCUUCUCUGUGACUGCUGAAAGACAGUGCGAGGCUGAAAGAGCUGAAAGGUAGAUUAAUUUUCCCAAGCCAACAUGUCCAGUUAAUGCUUCAGCCUAUAUCUAAAUCCAGGCUGUCAGAUCCCAGAGUCACAUCUUAGCCUUUAUAUUCUACUGCUCCCACCCUCUCUCUCAAAGCUUUCAUAAACAUUAGCAAAAACUAUUAGCUAGUAGGUAUUUUGGAGUAUAUUUAUCCUUAUGGUGUGUUAUAUCACAAACCAAAAGGAGCCAGGAAAAGUGUUUGAAUGUAUCUUAAGCCAUGAAAAAGCAUUAGAAAACACAAUACAUAAUUAAUUUUAACUCUUCGGGAAUAUUAAUUUCCCAACUUCUAUGCAAGAGAAUAUUUUAAAUAAAGACACACCUUUAUUAGCAGUUUGCUAGAUUAUGGUACUUUCAAAAUUCUGCUAGCACUCAAAAUAACAAGCCCAAACACCAACAGUACCAGAAGACAUUUGCAAAAACUUUGAUCAAUAGCAUAUCUACGUCCAGUUGAUAUAUUGAUAUAGGAGCUCCAAUAUUAACACAAAAAAUGCAAAGAUCUUAAACAGAUAAAGUCACAGAAGGUGAACAACAAAUGACAGUAAUAAAUCAAGCAGCCGACACACAAUGAGAGUUAUUUCUCAACUAGUUUUAUUAUAAAAGCGUCAUAGACAAAUCCAGGGUACCUCACAAGACCAAUUAGAGUAAAGAAGAGAUUUCAAACAAGCUUCAAUGAAAAAUGAAGAAAAGUGAUGAGGAAAGAUCUUCUGGGAAAGCUGAGUCGGGAGCCUUGGAAGACAGCAGAUGAUAAACAUGACGAGCAGGUACCAAGCUCUGGCUCAGGGGAACAUCAGACAUGGAACUGUCCAGAGAGCUCACUGGGAAGCAAGCUCGGCACACAGAUGCAGUUUAUGGCAGUGGCCUUAAAAGCUUAAGGUACAUCAAACUCUUCUGUGAACUUCACAACAGAGACUUUUAUACAUACUUCCAGAAUUCCUUUCUGGCUAAGCUGGAGUGCAUCCUACUAACAGCACAUCUCUAAGAGAGUUUUCAGGGAUCCUGAUGGGUAGGGCCUAGCUUUGGAGGACCACAGAGUCACAGUCACCUGCUGAUACAAUGGGUGAGAGCAGGGAGCACAGUGAAGUCAAUAGUGUUGAAAAAAAAAAAGGAAAUAAAGACAGGGAGGUGAGGGUAGGGUGGAGAGACAGAAACAGUGUGGAAAGAGGGUUGCAAAACAAAGGGGAAUUUUCUUAGCCUCUGGCCCCCAGAAGUUAUCUGGCCAGAGAAGCUCACUGGGCAGACUGUACUCUAAAUCUAUGAGUGUUCUUCUCCUAUCCUGCCCCACCUCCUUGCUUCCACUCACUGACAGUUCUAAUCAGCCAUUGAUCUCCUAGUGCUACCCUUUCCGGGUCUUCACCUCUAACCAAUUCACGUCACCUAACUCACCAUGCUUUUAGCUUCCCACUGAAAACCUUUUAGUGAAUCUCGGAACUUGCUCUAAGGCUGACAUCCUUGGCAAACCAACAGUCUUUGAUAAUUCUCUCCAUUGCUGUCUUAGUUAUUGUUUUCUGUUGUUAUGAACAAACAUCUUAUGAAAAGUAGGGGGGAAGUGUUUAUUUCGGCUCAAAGUGGAAGAAGAGCUAUAUCAAGCAAGGGAGGGAGAAGGAAGGGAGGUGGCUAAGAACAGAAUACAUGGAGUCAUGUGUACACAGAGGCCUGGCUAAAACUAAGGGUCGUUUGAGGGGUACUAUGGAAACCUAACAUUGUAAAUGCUUCCUGAAAAAUAUACAUAUAUGAAGAGGAUCUAAAUGAAAUUGAUAAGUAAUGGGUGAAAAAGUGCCCCAGCUGGACAUCUCUUGUCACUAAAUGAAGCUUUCAGUACCAGUAAUGGGUUACAUCUAAUUGAGUUGUGGGCCAAAGGGCUCCCAUGGGUAUCUCCAAACAACCCCGGGCUGUUGCCAAGACUACAGGUAGUUCUGACAAACUGAUGGCUACUCCAUAUUGCUAAAGCCAAUACCUACACAACUCAUUGAACAUGGAGGUAUUGUCUUUAGCAAUUAGGGCCUUCAUCCCUACAUGCAUCUUUGGUACAGGAAGCUACUCUGUUAGCUACCAAAGGAGAAACAUAUACACCAACCCAGCUACAAAUUUUUGUAUCUACAAUGGUGACCUGCCUGAUAUAUAUGCUAGUGCAGAGGUGGUACAGACCACUAUCGGUUUAGUAGUAAACCAAUAUCUUACACUUGACUUAAAACCCACUCCCUGAGAUGGAAGCCAUAUCCAACACUGUUUGGAUGACCAAGAAACUAAGUAUAUUUAGCCAAAGGACAGAGGGUAUCCAAAUACUAUUGUUAAAAAAACAAUACAAAACAUCAUCCCCCAAAAUAAAGCAAUAAGAUGACUCUUGAUGACAUUCUGCUAUUAUUAUAGAUCAGUGACUUGCUCAGCCAUCAUCAAAGAAGCUUCCUGGUACAUCAGAUGGUAAAAAUACAGAGGCCCACAGCCAGGCAAUAUCCAUAGUGAGAGACCUUGGAAGGCUCAGUUCUUAAAUGGAAUGUCUCUAUCAAAUCCCUCUCCUCAGGGCUCAGGAAAUUCUUCUGAAGAGGAUGCAGAGAGAGCCUUAGUCCCAGAGGGUAUGGAGGACACUAAAGAAACAAGACCCUUUAAGCACAGCAGGCCCAAGGUGCAUAGGAAUCCACGGAGACAGAGGCAGCACAGGUGGGGCCUGAGUGAGUCUGCACCAGAUGGAGACCGAAUUGAAAGAAAAAGCAGGUUCAUGCCUGCCAUCCUUAAGCCAGUAGCAAUAUGUACUUGAUAACUACUUGAAGAUAGAAAUUUAGUUUUCUCCAAAGGAGUCUCACUGAGGAAAUACACUACUCUUAUGUAGGUCCAAUGCUCAGCAGUAGAUGGCCAACAGAACAUGAAAAUGGACUUUCCUUUUCCUUGUCCCAUGGCAUGUCUGGGCCUUUUCUAUUCUUCCUCCUUUUAUUUUUUUAUUUUUUAUUUUUAUCUUUUUACUUUUUAUUUUUACUCCCCCCUCCCCCACCUUUUCCUACAGGUCCUUGGUUCUGAUUUUGUGUUUUUAAUGGGAUUCCCAAGUGUGUGAACGAGAGGAUUUCUUUGUGUGUGUGUGUGUUUGUGUGUGUGUGUGUGUGUGUGUGUGUGUGAAACUAUUGUCAGUAAAUUACAACAGGGGCAAGAUCAUAAAAAAAUAGAAGAAUGUAUAUAGUGUACCCUAGCAGGGAAACAAUGGAGGGAAAAGGAUGGAAGUGGUGUGGAUACAAGGCGCAUAUGACAUCUAUAAAUCAUAAGAAACCCAAAGCCACUAGAGCUACAAGAGGGGAAAGAAACACUCUUCCUCAAAAGACCAUUCCUGUCACCACUUCCGUUGCAGACCAGUGGCCCUUAGAGCCUGUCUACAAUGGAUUUCUGUCAUUUUAACAACCUGGCAUAUGGUACUGUUACUGCUGCCUAGCGAGGAUACUAAUACCGACCCUAGACAUCCAGAGACUUGGGAAGGGGUGGAAACUCGCAUUCUGGUACAAUGUGACUGUAAGUGCCACCUCCGCAGAGCGAUCAGCUCAGUAGUGAGUGAAGAAGGUGGGUUGCUCACCCGUAGCACCAAGUCUGGAUUGCUCACUUAUUUAGAACUGAACAGAGAAGAGGAGUCAGCCAUACAGUGGAAGAGUGCACACAUCCUGGGAGUGGGAAGGAAUCGGAAGAGUGCAGUGUCAUAGAGGCCAAAACCCACAAAAACUUCAAAGCUUUUGUUCUUUUUCCAUGUAAAGGCAGCAUAAAGCACUGCUAGAAGGAUAAGCGAUGAAGAUAAAGCAAGAGCUGCUUUUGGGCACACCAUGCUCAUUAUGGACCGAUGGAGAUCCGUUUCUUAUAUACUUGAAGUGGGUGGAGAACAGAAUUGGGUGCCAGAGCCAGAACCUCUAAUCAUGAGUUGCUGAGACACCCUGAGGGCCCCUUUGUGAAGGACUCAGCUAGAAGGAUCUUGCUGAUGGAAACUCACUACCAGCAGAUAACACGUGCUUAUGGCCUUCCCACCCCUAGCACAUGCAUUAAGUGUUCUGAAACAUUUCCACCCGUCUACUGGCUGAAAAUGAUGUACAAUUUUUGUAUUGAGUUCAAUGUCAUUGGUCAUCAAUGGGGUGGAAUGCAUUUCAUCACUUGCCAUCUGAUUGUCUUAUUACAGAAAUUCCCUCUAAUCAUGUUUCUACUGGAAAAAAUAUAUAAUUGACCAUAAGAGCUCAAGAAUAGUAUUUACCACAGUGAGCUUUGAUCUAAGAUGGAGUCUUUAUGUUCUUCUCAAAUGUUUGCUUCUAAGCAGGCCUUCUUCUACAGACUUUGUUUUUGUGAAAUCUACAAACUCUUUCCUUCGGCAUUUUUUUCUUUUGCUCACAUACUCUGAAAGACCUAAAACAAAACUGGCAUUUUAAAAGAAAUUGGGGCCAGACUCCUUGGACAUUAAGUAGUGACAAACAUUUAAAGAGAAAAUGGCACCUGGAUUGUUAGAUUUUUUUUUUAAACGUUGGGAGAUUAUGCAUCAUGAGUCCAUGAAAGACAGAAAUAACCAUGAUUCACAAUCACUGUGUGACUGUGGUUUCCUAAGAAUCAUUACACUUCAAAGUCUACUCUAGAGCCUGGCACCGCUGACCUUCUGUUCUUUCUGUGUCUUUGUUCCAUGCCAAGACACCCAUUUUGUCUUUCCUGAGUCCUGUUACAAACCUAGACAGUUUGCUGAGCUCGCAGUUGAGAUCUGCAACACCUCCUGUUGCACUGUGUUUCCCUGGCUCCCCAGGAAAAUGUUAAGUGAAAAAUGCUUCGUAGAGAGCAGAUGUGUUUGUCGUUAAAGCUGGCAAUGCCUUCCAAAGUAAAGACAUGGAAAGAUUACACAAACUAUACAUGAAUGGCAGGAAGAAACUCUCAGUUUCUCUUAGUUUGCUCAGGCAAACUAAGGCAGAGGGCCACCCCAAAAGGAUUUAAAAAUAUCAGGUAAGAAUAUUAUUGACUUUCAUAUUGACUGUAAUACAGACAUAAUUGACUGUAAAUACUACUUACUGUGGUUUAUUUAGAUAGAUUCACAGAGACGUCAGAUUCUACACUCAGUACUUUAUCCAGCUUUCAUUUCAUUAGAGAUUUCCUGGGAUGUGGUAUAUUUUUAAACCAUAAAGCUAAGAAAGUAACAGCUAAAAACCGGCAUUUCAUAGGAAUAUGCCAUGACUUGGAAGGCUUGGGAAGGUCUAUGCGUAUACUUUUAAAAAAUGUUGUUUUUUGUUUUUGCUUUGGAUAAUUGUGCAACAUCUAUGAGGAUUGAGUUAAGAAAUUUACUGGACUAGAAUGUAGUUUGUAUACAGCAAAUAUACAAAGUAGUAACAAACAGUGAACUAAGUAAUGGCAUAUUGUCUUUGUCUAAUUUCUAUCGUCAUAUUCAACUUUCUCUGGGAUUAUUAAAGACCUAUAAUUAUAUCAUGUAUAUUUUCAGCAAAAAUAAAUCUGUUGUUUAUGUUGUUUGUGGAACA